UACGGAGGGUGCGAGCGUUGUCCGGAAUCAUUGGGCGUAAAGGGUGCGUAGGCGGCGCGGUAAGUCGGGUGUGAAAUCUCGGGGCUUAACUCCGAAACUGCAUUCGAUACUGCCGUGCUUGAGGACUGGAGAGGAGACUGGAAUUUACGGUGUAGCGGUGAAAUGCGUAGAUAUCGUAAGGAAGACCAGUGGCGAAGGCGGGGUCUCUGGACAGUUCCUGACGCUGAGGCACGAAGGUCAGGGGAGCAAACGGG
Molecule: ribosomal RNA, 254 nt
Filed under: uncultured bacterium
Lineage: Bacteria
Description: partial 16S ribosomal RNA
Rfam family: Bacterial small subunit ribosomal RNA
Source: RNAcentral